UAGGGAAUCUUCGGCAAUGGGGGCAACCCUGACCGAGCAACGCCGCGUGAGUGAAGAAGGUUUUCGGAUCGUAAAGCUCUGUUGUAAGUCAAGAACGAGUGUGAGAGUGGAAAGUUCACACUGUGACGGUAGCUUACCAGGAAGGGACGGCUAACUACGUGCCAGCAGCCGCGGUAAUACGUAGGUCCCGAGCGUUGUCCGGAUUUAUUGGGCGUAAAGCGAGCGCAGGCGGUUUGAUAAGUCUGAAGUUAAAGGCUGUGGCUCAACCAUAGUUCGCUUUGGAAACUGUCAAACUUGAGUGCAGAAGGGGAGAGUGGAAUUCCAUGUGUAGCGGUGAAAUGCGUAGAUAUAUGGAGGAACACCGGUGGCGAAAGCGGCUCUCUGGUCUGUAACUGACGCUGAGGCUCGAAAGCGUGGGGAGCGAACAGGAUUAGAUACCCUGGUAGUCCACGCCGUAACGAUGAGUGCUAGGUGUUGGAUCCUUUCCGGGAUUCAGUGCCGCAGCUAACGCAUUAAGCACUCCGCCUGGGGAGUACGACCGCAAGGUU
This 548-nucleotide ribosomal RNA is filed under the name uncultured bacterium. RNAcentral describes it as "bacterial SSU rRNA". It matches the Rfam family "Bacterial small subunit ribosomal RNA", at positions 355 to 895 of the family's 1533-position model. The record is from RNAcentral.